AUUUGUUAUUUACAUCAAUGUUACAGCUAAUCUAGAAGAACCACAGUGUAUGCCAAUCAUGCUAACUCUUGUAAACUUGUUUUACUUGUCUUUAAUGACAGACACAUUACAGGUUAUGCUCCGGAAGAUGGAGACAUUGGAGGAGAACCAGCGAGAGGCUCUCCUAUUCAGGCGACUACAGGGCAGACACACUGAAGAGGUGCCAGUGAUGGACCUACAGGUGGCCCAAACACAGGCUGAACUCCAAGACCUUGAGGAGCGCCUUAAGGUGCUGGAGUUGCGAAAGAGAGUGACGCUGUGAUGAAGUGGAAGACGGGACUGGGAGAGAAAGCUGUGGAGCUCCUCAUAGAGGAGACACUCAAACACACCCCGGCAGCCCAUUCAAAACAAGCCAGGGCCAACAGACAGGACCUGUAGCGGGGACUGGCAGAAGAUUUUAAUUCACUGUUUGGCU
Osmerus eperlanus (European smelt) is the source of this 454-nucleotide long non-coding RNA. RefSeq lists it as uncharacterized. The record is from RefSeq and is a predicted model, not a curated record. The transcript is spliced from 3 exons. Lineage: Eukaryota; Metazoa; Chordata; Actinopteri; Osmeriformes; Osmeridae.